GAUGAACGCUGGCGGCGUGCCUAAUACAUGCAAGUCGAGCGAACAGACGAUUAGCUUUCUCCUCUUACGUUAGCGGCUGACGUGUGAGUAACAUGUGUAUAACCUACCUUUUAUACUUGUAUAACUUCGUGAAACCUUAUCUAAUACCGGAUAAUAUUUUUAACCGCAUGGUUCAUUAGUGAAAUACGUUUUUUCUGUCUCUUAUAGAUGUUUCCGCGCCGCAUUAGCUAGUUGGUAAGGUAACGGCUUACCAAGGCAACGAUGCUUAGCCGACCUGAGAGGGGGAUCGGAAACACUGGAACGGAGACACGGAACAGACAACGACGGGAGGCAGCAGUAGGGAAUAUUCCGCAAUGGGGGAAAGCAUGACGGAGCAACGCCGAGUGAGUGAUGAAGGUCUUCGGAUCGUAAAACACUGUUAUUAGGGAAGAACAAAGGUGUAAGUAACUAUGCACGUAUUGACGGUACCUAAUCAGAAAGCAACGGCUAACUACGUG
Molecule: ribosomal RNA, 497 nt
Filed under: uncultured bacterium
Lineage: Bacteria
Description: partial 16S ribosomal RNA
Rfam family: Bacterial small subunit ribosomal RNA
Source: RNAcentral